CAAAUCGACAAGGAGAAGCCGCAAUUAAAGGAGGCAUCAUGUUGACGUCUGCAGAUUAAAUACCAGAAGACAAUGGAGUGAUGUUCGUACAACAGAGAGAACUUAGGUUUUCAUGUGCAAAAGAAACAGAACACUCAGAUUGGCAGGGACUUGGAAAAUGCACCAUGCGUGUAACCAUGUGGAAACAUCUCCUCAAGAGACAUGCUUCUUCCAAAUAAGAAAUGAAUGAAUUGAAGAAAUCGGCCUUAAGAGACCUAAGGAAAAAUUCAGGACAGAUUCAAACUUCAAGCAUCAGGAAAAUCCAUAGCAAGUUUAUCCAGUGAUUAAUAGCAAUUUAAUAUAAUGAGAAAAACAGCCAAUUAUAUUUGAGUUUAUAUUUUUUACAAAAUACCUAUGAAAAUUGUGUAGAGCUUAAAUGUUAUAUUUAUACUAAUAUUUAUAUUAUAUUACCUUAAUAGAAUUUUUAUAGGAAAAAAGCAUAAUAAAAUGACAUAGAUGCCAUAAUCUUUUGUUAGUCAAAUUAUAAAAAUUUAGUCAACCUUAAAUGACACCUUGACCAAACUACAGAAAUCGUAUCUGAGAAAAAAGCCCUCCUUUGAAAAUAUUCCUUUACUUUGCAGGUACAACUUUCUAAAUCUUUUCCCCGUAUGUUAUUGUCUGCACUAAAAUACCAUCAGAAAGGGGUUUAAGGAGGCAGCGCAGAGGGAAGAACGGAGGUGACUCAGGGACAGUAACCCCAGGCUAAGACGUAAGUGGUUCACAACUAUGCCCUCUUCUUUCAUAUCCCUUAAGAUGCCUUUUGGUACUUUAUCCUUCAAGGCUCUCCUUGAUGUUGGAAGAGAGAAAGGGCUGGGGUAGAACAUAGAAAAGAUAGAAGUCUUUCCAAACCCUCCCCGUUAGCCCUUGCAGGUACUGUGGAGACUGGGGUGCAGCAGGGGCUAACUGGGGGAAGACUCUUCGGUGAAACGCCCUUCUGUGGCGCAGCCUGCUGGGGGGCACUUCUCUGCAGAGCCAUAACCCCAUGUUGGCCACACCCUCAGAUUCUGGAAUCAACAUUUUAAGUUAAUUAAUUUACACAGAGACGUACAUAAAGACGUUUAUAAUGGGGCUAUUUGUACUGAUACACUUAUGGUAAACUUCACAAAUGUCCGAUAGUGCCUCCAUUUUUGUAAAACACAUUUCUAAAGUGUUUAUGCGUUGAAAAGAGCUGGGAAGACAGACAUGUUACUAACGGCUGCCUCAGGGUAGCAGAAUCACGGGGCAAUUCUUUGUAGCUAUCCGACUGUUCUACACUGCGAACGAAUUACUCCUGUAGUGAAAAUGGGGGGGGGGGGUGCAGGGGGAGUCCCCUCACUAAGAAGAAACAAGGCAGCUAACUUUUUCUUUGUUUUUUCCUUUGUUUUUAAGACAUCUGAGCUAUCUUCAUUCAUCCUCCUAAACCUCUUCUAAAUUCU
Phyllostomus discolor (pale spear-nosed bat) is the source of this 1454-nucleotide long non-coding RNA. RefSeq lists it as uncharacterized. Lineage: Eukaryota; Metazoa; Chordata; Mammalia; Chiroptera; Phyllostomidae. The record is from RefSeq and is a predicted model, not a curated record. The transcript has 2 exons.